This 407-nucleotide ribosomal RNA is filed under the name uncultured bacterium. RNAcentral describes it as "partial 16S ribosomal RNA". It matches the Rfam family "Bacterial small subunit ribosomal RNA", at positions 28 to 526 of the family's 1533-position model. The record is from RNAcentral.
GACGAACGCUGGCGGCGUGCCUAAUACAUGCAAGUAGGACGCAGUUGCGAACGGGUUAGUACCGCGUUGGUCACUACCUAUUAUAGGGGGAUAACUAUUGGAAACGAUAGCUAAUACCGCAUCCUAGUUGAUGGACCUUCGUUGUAUUAGGUAGUAGGUAGGGUACUGGCCUACCUAGGCAACGAUACAUAGCCGACCUGGGAGGGUGAGCGGCGACACUGGGAAUGAGACACGGCCCAGACGCCUAAGGGAGGCAGCAGUAGGGAAUCUGCGGCAAUGGGGGGAACCCUGACCGAGCAAAGCCGCGUGAGUGAAGAAGGGUUUCGGAGCGUAAAGCUCUGUUGUUAAGGAAGCGGUACGUAACCAGAAAGGGACGGCUAACUACGUGCCAGCAGCCGCGGUAAUUC